UCAGUCAGUCUAUCAGUCAGUCAGUCAGUCAGUCAGUCUAUCAGUCAGUCAGUCUAUCAGUCAGUGUGUCAGUCAGUCAGUCUAUCAGUCAGUCAGUCAGUCAGUGUGUCAGUCAGUCUAGUCAGUCUAUCAGUCAGUCAGUCAGUCAGUAUAUCAGUCAGUCUAUCAGUCAGUCAGUCUAUCAGUCAGUCAGUCAGUAUAUCAGUCAGUGUGUCAGUCAGUCAGUCAGUCUAUCAGUCAGUGUGUCAGUCUAUCAGUCAGUCAGUGUGUAAGUCAGUCAGUGUGUCAGUCAGUCAGUAUAUCAGUCAGUCAGUAUAUCAGUCAGUCAGUGUGUCAGUCAGUCAGUAUAUCAGUCAGUCUAUCAGUCAGUCAGUGUGUCAGUCAGUCAGUGUGUCAGUCAGUCUAUCAGUCAGUCAGUGUGUCAAUCAGUCAGUAUAUCAGUCAGUGUGUCAGUCAGUGUGUCAGUCAGUCAGUAUAUCAGUCAGUCAGUGUGUCAGUCAGUCAGUGUGUCAGUCAGUCAGUCAGUGUGUCAGUCAGUCAGUCAGUCUAUCAGUCAGUGUGUCAGUCAGUCAGUCAGUCAGUC
RNAcentral lists this long non-coding RNA (583 nucleotides) under Pelobates cultripes (western spadefoot toad). Lineage: Eukaryota; Metazoa; Chordata; Amphibia; Anura; Pelobatidae. The record is from RNAcentral.